Molecule: long non-coding RNA, 943 nt
Filed under: Musa acuminata (dwarf banana)
Lineage: Eukaryota; Viridiplantae; Streptophyta; Magnoliopsida; Zingiberales; Musaceae
Description: long non-coding RNA (MACU_LNC008383)
Source: RNAcentral
AGAGAGAGAGAGAGAGAGAGAGAUGGAUGGAAACAGGCGAACAUCAACGGUUGAGAGUUCGGAUGACCCAGCAAGGCUUAUAACAAAGAAGGAGUUCCCCGCCGUGCAAGAUUCAAAGAGAGCACAAGCUGAGGAAGCGGAAGAAGGCAGCAGAGCCCGCGGCCUCUACUGUCGGCAUAGAAGCGGAGCCGUCGAAGAUGGAGGAGGCAAGGGUUCAUGGAGCCCGGGAGCCAGAAAUGAGCAGGAGAUGCUCAUCCUCCAUCUCUAUAGGUUUUAAUUAGGCAAGGAUAAAAUGUUUCGACCAUCUUUGCUUUCAGCGAGUAGUAAAUGCAGAGAAAGGCAUGUCGUCAUUAUAGACCACCUUCGGUACGAGUGCUUUAAUCCACCCAAUUUACUCGUCCGUGUGAUGAACUAUCCUAUAUAUCAAAUUAGAAGAUUUGACCGACUUAGAUGGUGUCAAACACAUGGUACGCAGCAUUCAUCAGGGAAUGUUAUGGUUUCGGUUAUCACCUCGACAUUGAUCUUAUUAUAUGCUUGCUUGCUAUGAUAUGCUCAUCGCGGGUUUGAUCUAUUUCCUUUUAGCCUAAAAGUAAAUAUAAGGUUUGAUGGGGGCUUCAGCUUUUAACAAGAAGGAAAGAUUCGUUUAUAUUUUUGUUUGAGAAAAAAAUAUCCUUUCGGUCUUUAUAUGUCACCCAAAAUUUUUCACUAAUGUUUUUCUUAAUCUCUUACGUAAUAUCCUCUUAUCCCUCUUGAAUAUUAAUAGCUAAUCCUUGACUUUAAAGGGAAGCUCUAUCAUCCAAUGUAUUUUUAAUCUUUUUGAUACUUGAGGCUCAUGAUCAAGGACUUGGUAUGAUGAUUGCACUUUGCUGGGAGCUUUCUAUGGAAUUGGGUCUAGAUUCGACAACGAUAUUAAGUACUGACUCUAAGGGAGGUGCUAGAGGUG